ACAACUUCAACUGCGCCCCGCAGGGGAAGCCGGUGCGAAACCGGCGCUGACCCGCAACCGUGAGCGCGGCCGCCAUGGCCGUGCGAGCCGGAGCACCCGCGGGGCGCGGCAGGCUCAA
This 118-nucleotide non-coding RNA is filed under the name Streptomyces sp. Lineage: Bacteria; Bacillati; Actinomycetota; Actinomycetes; Kitasatosporales; Streptomycetaceae. The record is from RNAcentral.